This 498-nucleotide ribosomal RNA is filed under the name Clostridioides difficile. RNAcentral describes it as "partial 23S ribosomal RNA". It matches the Rfam family "Bacterial large subunit ribosomal RNA", at positions 2424 to 2925 of the family's 2925-position model. The record is from RNAcentral. Lineage: Bacteria; Bacillati; Bacillota; Clostridia; Peptostreptococcales; Peptostreptococcaceae.
UGGUUCUGCGUGGAAGGGCCAUCGCUCAACGGAUAAAAGCUACCCUGGGGAUAACAGGCUUAUCUCCCCCAAGAGUCCACAUCGACGGGGAGGUUUGGCACCUCGAUGUCGGCUCAUCACAUCCUGGGGCUGUAGUAGGUCCCAAGGGUUGGGCUGUUCGCCCAUUAAAGUGGUACGCGAGCUGGGUUCAGAACGUCGUGAGACAGUUCGGUCCCUAUCCGUCGCAGGCGUAGGAAAUUUGAGAAGACCUGUCCUUAGUACGAGAGGACCGGGAUGGACGUACCUCUGGUGUACCAGUUGUCCUGCCAAGGGCAUGGCUGGGUAGCUAUGUACGGAAUGGAUAAGCGCUGAAAGCAUCUAAGCGCGAAGCCAACUUCAAGAUAAGAUUUCCCACCGCAAGGGUAAGACCCCAGAAAGACUAUCUGGUUGAUAGGUCGAAGGUGUAAGUGCAGCAAUGUAUUUAGCUUAUCGAUACUAAUAGGUCGAGGACUUGACCAA